Molecule: ribosomal RNA, 250 nt
Filed under: uncultured Pseudomonas sp.
Lineage: Bacteria; Pseudomonadati; Pseudomonadota; Gammaproteobacteria; Pseudomonadales; Pseudomonadaceae
Description: partial 16S ribosomal RNA
Rfam family: Bacterial small subunit ribosomal RNA
Source: RNAcentral
UACAGAGGGUGCAAGCGUUAAUCGGAAUUACUGGGCGUAAAGCGCGCGUAGGUGGCUUGGUAAGUUGAAUGUGAAAUCCCCGGGCUCAACCUGGGAACUGCAUCCAAAACUGCCUGGCUAGAGUACGGUAGAGGGUGGUGGAAUUUCCUGUGUAGCGGUGAAAUGCGUAGAUAUAGGAGGGAACACCAGUGGCGAAGGCGACCACCUGGACUGAUACUGACACUGAGGUGCGAAAGCGUGGGGAGCAAAC